RNAcentral lists this ribosomal RNA (404 nucleotides) under uncultured bacterium. Its description in RNAcentral is "bacterial SSU rRNA". It matches the Rfam family "Bacterial small subunit ribosomal RNA", at positions 28 to 432 of the family's 1533-position model. The record is from RNAcentral.
GAUGAACGCUAGCGGGAGGCCUAAUACAUGCAAGUCGAACGGUAAGGUCCCUUCGGGGAUACACGAGUGGCGGACGGGUGCGUAACGCGUACGAAACAUACCUUCAACAGGGAGAUACCUCCGGGAAACUGGAAAUAAUACCCCAUAGUAUUGAGAUAUCGCAUGAUAUUUCAAUUAAAGCUUUGGCGGUUGAAGAUUGUCGUGCGUCUGAUUAGCUAGUUGGUGAGGUAACGGCUCACCAAGGCGACGAUCAGUAGCUGGUCUGAGAGGAUGAUCAGCCACACUGGAACUGAGACACGGUCCAGACUCCUACGGGAGGCAGCAGUAGGGAAUAUUGGACAAUGGGCGGAAGCCUGAUCCAGCCAUCCCGCGUGUAGGAAUAAGGCCCUAUGGGUUGUAAACUA